Molecule: ribosomal RNA, 627 nt
Filed under: uncultured bacterium
Lineage: Bacteria
Description: bacterial SSU rRNA
Rfam family: Bacterial small subunit ribosomal RNA
Source: RNAcentral
CAAGUCGAGGGGUAACGGGGAAGCUUGCUUCCGCCGACGACCGGCGCACGGGUGCGUAACGCGUAUACAAUCUACCUUAUACUGGGGUAUAGCCUUUAGAAAUGAAGAUUAACCCCCCAUAGUCUCUUAGAGUGGCAUCACUUCUAGAGUAAAGGUUACGGUAUAAGAUGAGUAUGCGUUCUAUUAGUUUGUUGGUGUGGUAACGGCACACCAAGACUACGAUAGAUAGGGGCCCUGAGAGGGGGAUCCCCCACACUGGUACUGAGACACGGACCAGACUCCUACGGGAGGCAGCAGUGAGGAAUAUUGGACAAUGGAGGCAACUCUGAUCCAGCCAUGCCGCGUGCAGGAAGACUGCCCUAUGGGUUGUAAACUGCUUUUAUACAGGAAGAAACACCUCUACGUGUAGAGGCUUGACGGUACUGUAAGAAUAAGGAUCGGCUAACUCCGUGCCAGCAGCCGCGGUAAUACGGAGGAUCCAAGCGUUAUCCGGAAUCAUUGGGUUUAAAGGGUCCGUAGGUGGAUAAUUAAGUCAGAGGUGAAAUCUUGCAGCUCAACUGUAAAAUUGCCUUUGAAACUGGUUAUCUUGAGUUAUUAUGAAGUAGUUAGAAUAUGUAGUGUAGCGGU